GGGAGUAUAGUUCAGUGGUAGAACACUUGUCUGACAUGUUCAAGACCCUAGUUCAACCACUAGUACUUCAA
RNAcentral lists this transfer RNA (71 nucleotides) under Neotoma lepida (desert woodrat). It matches the Rfam family "tRNA". Rfam says of the family: Transfer RNA (tRNA) molecules are approximately 80 nucleotides in length. Lineage: Eukaryota; Metazoa; Chordata; Mammalia; Rodentia; Cricetidae. The record is from Rfam by way of RNAcentral.